RNAcentral lists this ribosomal RNA (449 nucleotides) under uncultured bacterium. Its description in RNAcentral is "partial 16S ribosomal RNA". It matches the Rfam family "Bacterial small subunit ribosomal RNA", at positions 29 to 523 of the family's 1533-position model. The record is from RNAcentral.
AACGAACGCUGGCGGCAGGCCUAACACAUGCAAGUCGAACGCCCUAGCAAUAGGGAGUGGCAGACGGGUGAGUAACACGUGGGAACCUUCCCUAUACUACGGAAUAGCCCAGGGAAACUUGGAGUAAUACCGUAUACGCCCGAGAGGGGAAAGAUUUAUCGGUAUAGGAUGGGCCCGCGUCGGAUUAGCUAGCUGGUGAGGUAAUGGCUCACCAAGGCGACGAUCCGUAGCUGGUUUGAGAGAACGACCAGCCACACUGGGACUGAGACACGGCCCAGACUCCUACGGGAGGCAGCAGUGGGGAAUAUUGGACAAUGGGCGCAAGCCUGAUCCAGCCAUGCCGCGUGAGUGAUGAAGGCCUUAGGGUUGUAAAGCUCUUUUGCCGGGGACGAUAAUGACGGUACCCGGAGAAUAAGUCCCGGCUAACUUCGUGCCAGCCGCCGCGGUAA